RNAcentral lists this transfer RNA (76 nucleotides) under Gleimia europaea ACS-120-V-Col10b. RNAcentral describes it as "Actinomyces europaeus ACS-120-V-Col10b tRNA-Glu". It matches the Rfam family "tRNA". From Rfam's summary of the family: Transfer RNA (tRNA) molecules are approximately 80 nucleotides in length. Their secondary structure includes four short double-helical elements and three loops (D, anti-codon, and T loops). The record is from RNAcentral. Lineage: Bacteria; Bacillati; Actinomycetota; Actinomycetes; Actinomycetales; Actinomycetaceae.
GCCCCCAUCGUCUAGCGGCCCAGGACACCGCCCUCUCACGGCGGCGACACCGGUUCAAAUCCGGUUGGGGGUGCCA